AAGGAAUAUUGCUCAAUGGGAGAAAUCCUGAAGCAGCAACGCCGCGUGGAGGAUGAAGGGUCUAUGACUUGUAAACUCCUGUAAAGAAGGAAAAAAUUCCCAUUUGAUGGGAGAUGAUGGUACUUCUGGAGUAAGCCCCGGCUAACUACGUGCCAGCAGCCGCGGUAAUACGUAGGGGGAAAGCGUUGUCCGGAUUUACUGGGUGGAAAGGAUGCUCAGGCGGAUUUGUAAGUCAGAGGUGAAAUCUUACAGCUUAACUGUGAAACUGCCUUUGAUACUGCAAGCCUAGAGUAUGGAAGAGACUGAAGGAAUAUCUGGUGUAGCAGUGAAAUGCGUAGAUAUCAGAUAGAACACCAAUGGCGAAGGCAGUCACUUGGUCCAUUACUGACGCUAAAGCACGAAAGCGU
Molecule: ribosomal RNA, 407 nt
Filed under: uncultured bacterium
Lineage: Bacteria
Description: bacterial SSU rRNA
Rfam family: Bacterial small subunit ribosomal RNA
Source: RNAcentral